AUAAUUUAUCAUGUUAGCGUGCCAACUGUGUCGAUGCCUUCUUAAACGAAGUACCACCUUAUAAACAGAACCGUUGCUUGGCAGAAGAAUUUGGUAUAAAUGGCUGGCUUUCUCUUUCUCACUAUUUUUGGUGUCAGCUUUCUGUGGUUGCCUGGCGAAGGGCAACUACAAGCCCCUUCAGCUGGUAGCACUUUGGUAUUUACAAAUGGAUCAACUGCAAAGAUUACCUGGCCGUAUAAAGCUGAUAUAUCUAAAUUGAAUUUUCGGAGUUGGUCCUUCAUCAGCAGUAAAACGAAAAAGUUGGAAACGCUGGCAACUAUAGUGGGGAAUGGUACGAGCGUUACGAAAUCUGCGAGUAGCUUGCACGAUUUUGAGAUUGAAACGCCCACCACCUUGAUCCUGAAGAAUAUCGAUGUCACUUACGACGGAACAUACCAGUUUGUCCUAACACCCAGUCGCGAUGCUGUAUCUAACGUUGUCGUUUAUA
Molecule: long non-coding RNA, 487 nt
Organism: Dendronephthya gigantea
Lineage: Eukaryota; Metazoa; Cnidaria; Anthozoa; Malacalcyonacea; Nephtheidae
Exons: 3
Source: RefSeq, a predicted model, not a curated record